UACGGAGGGUGCAAACGUUGCUCGGAAUCAUUGGGCGUAAAGCGCACGUAGGCGGCCUGUUAAGUCGGGUGUGAAAGCCCUGGGCUCAACCCAGGAAGUGCACACGAAACUGGCAGGGCUUGAAUAUGGAAGAGGGUCGCGGAAUUCCCGGUGUAGAGGUGAAAUUCGUAGAUAUCGGGAGGAACACCAGUGGCGAAGGCGGCGACCUGGGCCAAUAUUGACGCUGAG
This 228-nucleotide ribosomal RNA is filed under the name uncultured bacterium. Its description in RNAcentral is "partial 16S ribosomal RNA". It matches the Rfam family "Bacterial small subunit ribosomal RNA", at positions 524 to 750 of the family's 1533-position model. The record is from RNAcentral.